RNAcentral lists this ribosomal RNA (1260 nucleotides) under Triticum aestivum (bread wheat). RNAcentral describes it as "partial small subunit ribosomal RNA". Lineage: Eukaryota; Viridiplantae; Streptophyta; Magnoliopsida; Poales; Poaceae. The record is from RNAcentral.
AUGGAGAUUGCCUACCCCUACGGCGGGGAGCUCACCAGGAAGCACGGCUUCGUCACAGGCCAGCCGUUUGACGCCAAGAUCGACAUCAUGUCCGGCCAGAAGCGCGCGAGGGAGAUGGAGAUCCUUCGCCAGCGCUUCCAAGCAGAGCUCGUCGCCGUCCGUCGCCUCCUCCACAAGGCGGCCGCCGUGCUAGCUCCCGCCUCGUCCCCGUCGGCUCCCCGCGUCAAGAAGAGUCGUCCAAGGUUCUUGGCCGAGGAACCGCCGACCAAGAAGAGGAAGGCGUCCCCUCCAGUUCCCCUGAUCAAUCGCAAGAAGCCGCCUACGAAGAAGAAGAUGACGGCCUCUGAGCGGGAGAUGCUCGCGGAAGACCUGGAGCUCUUCGUUGCGGAAAUCCCCGAUCACAUCGUCCAGCUCUUGCAGAAGCACAGCUGCGCCACCCGCCCCGGCGAAAUCGAGAUCGACCUCCACGCGUUGGACGACGCUGCUGCUGUCGAGUUACAGGAGCAGGUUGACAAGUUCGCUCGAGAGAGGAGGUCGGCGAAUCCGUCGCCCCAAGAACGCCAUCAAGACGGCCCUGAGGUGAUGGCCGAAGAGGAGGUCGAAGAAGUUGACAUCUGUGGCGGCGUCUCCCCCUUAGCGAUCGUGCCGCAACCUCUGCUGCAAGAACGCCACCAAGACGGCCCUGAGGUGAUGGCCGAAGAGGAAGAGGAGGAAGAAGUUGACAUCUGCGGUGGCGUCUCCCCAUUACCGAUCGUGCCGGCACCUCUGCUGCUCGUCGAAGAUGAAACAGCCAGCGGCAGCCCAAGCUCCAGCAGCAGCAGCAGCAGCAGCAGUUCAGAUACUGAUUCCAGCGACAGCGAUUCAGACACUGAUUCCGGCAGCAGCGACUCGGGUUCAGAGCACUCCGGCGGCAGUGACUCAGAUUCUGAUUCCGACGAGAUCGUCGACAGUCCAGCACCGGCCACGCCUCCAACAUGUGAGCAGCUCGCCUGUGCUCUGGAAAGGCAGCGAAAGGAGGCCACGUCCCGGGCGAGGGAGAAGGCCCGUCAGGAGCUGCUCCAGAUGGAGAAGACGGCAAUGCCCGACGAUACCCUACACCGAGAGGAUCUGAAGAGGCUCGGCAUUGAUGAGUACAACACAGCGAAGCCCAGCAACGUGUUGCGGCAGAUUGGGCUCUACCUCAAGGUUGACGAAGACUGGAAGCAGCAACGCCGUCAAAGCUUCCACGAGGAUUUAGAGGAAGGCGAGAUUCGGUCGUGA